Molecule: long non-coding RNA, 5245 nt
Organism: Mobula hypostoma (lesser devil ray)
Lineage: Eukaryota; Metazoa; Chordata; Chondrichthyes; Myliobatiformes; Myliobatidae
Exons: 4
Source: RefSeq, a predicted model, not a curated record
UGCUCUGUCUGUGUGGUUAAAGGCCACUUUUACUUCCAGAGAUGCUUCCUUUGAGUGGGGGCCUGCCAAAAGGAGCCCAACUAGUUCUGCCUUGAGAGAGAGGGCAUGCAGAAGUGGUAGAAGUGAAUGACAUUUAUUUUCUCACUGGACUGGGGUAACUGCUUACAAGAGCAGCUGACUUAAGUUUGGGUAACUGGGUGUUAGAAUCAGUUGUUCUUUAUGCUUUAAUAAGGUAUUUAAUUAAUGAGUUUUUACAAGACUGAAAUUGCAGAUUCACUAACAUAAAUGUAUUUUUCACAAUAUGUGGUACUAGACUCCAGCUACCAGUAGCAAAGUGAUAUAACAAAUGCAUAACGGUUUAUUAUUUUUCAUUUUAAUUGGCUAAGUGUUAAAUUUGCUACAUUUGUGUAUCUUUCUGUAGGCCUUUGCUUAUCUCAGGAAUGUGACCUUUGGUAUAAAAGUGUCUGUUCCUGCGAAAAUUGCCAUUUUGUCUUUGUCUUAGUUUCAAGUGCCUGUCUUUUUAAGCUUUCAAUAAGCGAUCGUGAAGCAACAAGUUUUCAACUCAUUCUUGGACCCCUACUAAAAGAACCUGCGGAUCAGAAAUCAGCAGCUACAACAAUUCUGGUUUCACGAACUGGGUGGUUAUGAAAAACAGUUUGAAAAUUCCUUGGACAAAGAAGGAAAUUUUAGAGUGCACCUAACAGGAGGAAUUCUGCAGAUGCUGGAAAUUCAAGCAACACACAUCAAAGUUGCUGGUGAACGCAGCAGGCCAAGCAGCAUCUAUAGGAAGAGGCGCAGUCGACGUUUCAGGCCGAGACCCUUCGUCAGGACUAACUGAAGGAAGACUGUUAGGGAGAAGGCACGAGGAGGAUGAAGAGAGAAGACGCGACUUGAGUUGGUGGGUUGCCCGACCCUCUGGGCAGGAGCCCAGAGGUUGACAACGAUCGAAGGAGGAUCAGCAAAGGAAAAUCCAUGAGCUCCAAUGAUUUGUGCACUGGACUGUUUAAUAAGCAUCUGCAGAAUUCCUGUUGUUUGCAUUUAAAUUCACUACUGCGAAGCCUCUUCCGGUGAUGCCUACACCGAAGAAGUUUAGAUCCUGUCUUCGACGAGAGGUCAGUGAAACCAUCUCUCACUGCUCCCCAUCUGUAAUUUCUUCGGCUCUUCAACUUUUCGACCACACUUUGACUCAAACUCGCUAUCACAGCCAUAUAUCCUUUCUUGGAACGUGCCUCCGUCGCCAACUUACUCCAGUUGGCUUUAGGAUUCGUUUCCAAGCCUCUCAAUUUGGACCUUCUGAGGAUCCCAGGUACUCACAUUUUAUUGACUCUGCCUCUCGCCGCUUCUCCCGUCAAGCUCUGAAGGCGACGCUCUCCGCCAUGAGGAGGUACUUGGUGUCCCUAUCCCAGACCCUUCCACACCUUCGGGACACUUUCUUCGCCGUCUGUAAUGGUCCUACCCGUUAUUUCAUCCUCCGUCCGAUUCACGCCUGCAAUCGCCGUUUUUUUGACUUUGUCAUGUUAGGCAAAAAUCGCAAGAUCCUACAUCUACGGACUCCAGAGCCUGCCGGCCCCGACGCUAGCAGGCAUGAACUUCAAAUUGCGGCCCCUGCCAUUGAUCUCAGCGGCUCCAACACCUCAGGACAUAUUCAAAACCCGGACUCCAGCAACGACCAUGGACACAUUUGAAGUGUUGCGCAACCACCAACUGCGACUCCAGCCUUGAACUCCAGGCCGGGUCUUUAUGUGCUGCUAUUGUGACUCCUGUCUCCCCUUCCCCCACCACCACUCUGCAGCCCCGUCUUCCUCAGAUCCCACCGUCAGCUCCUGGGCCCUCAGAGGCUCCAUCUUCCUCUCAUCCCAACCCUCCCCUCUCCACUGACACCCCCAGCCUCCCCCCUCCCGCCUCUGAUCCCAGCUCUCAAGAUUCCAGCCUUGAACUCCAGGCCGGGUCUUUACGUGCUGCUAUUGUGACUCCUGUCUCCCCUUCCCCCACCACCACUCCGCAGCCCCGUCUUCCUCAGAUCCCACCGGCAGCUCCUGGGCCCUCAGAGGCUCCAUCUUCCUCUCACCCCAACCCUCCCCUCUCCAUUGACACCCCCAGCCUCCCCCCUCCCCCCUCUGAUCCCAGCUCUCAUCCGUGCCGGGUCUUUACCAUCCCCUCCGACCUUCAACUGUUGGAGGCAGAACGCUCUGUUCUCAGUAAGGGCCUCACGUUUGUCCCCCUUCGCCUACACCUCAGCGAGUUCCGUGUUCGCCACGAUGCGGAACUUGUCUUUCUCCGUCUCCGAGCCUACUUCUUCGGCAAGGACUCUUCCACCCCCACCGAUGACCCCUUCUCCCGUCUUCAACCCUCCUCUUCUUCAUGGACACCCCGCUCUGGUCUUCUGCCUGCUCUGGAUCUCUUUAUUGCUAACUGCCGACGGGACAUCAACUGUCUCGACUUCACCGCACCUUGUCCCCAUUCCAACCUCACUCCUUCGGAACGCUCUGCUGUCCACUCCCUCCGCACUAAUCCUAACAUUAUUAUUAAACCCGCUGAUAAGGGGGGUGCUGUUGUAGUCUGGCGUACUGACCUCUACCUUGCCGAGGCGCAGCGACAACUCGCGGAUACCUCCUCUUAUUUACCCCUCAAUCAUGACCCCACUGAGGAGCACCAGGCCAUUGUCUCCCACACCAUCACCGACUUUAUCCGCUCAGGGGAUCUCCCAUCCACUGCUACCAACCUUAUAGUUCCCACACCCCGCACUUCCCGUUUCUACCUCCUACCCAAGAUCCACAAACCUGCCUGUCCUGGCCGACCUAUUGUCUCAGCUUGCUCCUGCCCCACCGAACUCAUUUCUGCAUACCUCGACACUGUUUUAUCACCCCUUGUUCAAUCCCUUCCUACCUAUGUUCGUGACACUUCUCACGCUCUUAAACUUUUCGAUGAUUUUAAGUUCCCUGGCCCCCACCGCUUUAUUUUCACCAUGAAUGUCCAGUCCUUAUAUACUUCCAUCCCCCAUCAGGAAGGUCUCAAAGCUCUACGCUUCUUUUUGGAUUCCAGACCUAAUCAGUUCCCCUCUACCACCACUCUGCUCCGUCUAGCGGAAUUAGUCCUUACUCUUAAUAAUUUCUCCUUUUGCUCCUCCCAUUUCCUCCAAACUAAAGGUGUAGCUAUGGGCACCCGUAUGGGUCCUAGCUAUGCCUGCCUUUUUGUUGGGUUUGUGGAACAAUCUAUGUUCCGUGCCUAUUCUGGUAUCUGUCCCCCACUUUUCCUUCGCUACAUCGACAACUGCAUUGGCGCUGCUUCCUGCACGCAUGCAGAACUCGUUGACUUUAUUAACUUUGCCUCCAACUUUCACCCUGCCCUCAAGUUUACCUGGGUCCAUUUCUGACACCUCCCUCCCCUUUCUAGAUCUUUCCGUCUCUGUCUCUGGAGACAGCUUAUCCACUGAUGUCUACUAUAAGCCUACUGACUCUCACAGCUAUCUGGACUAUUCCUCUUCUCACCCUGUCUCUUGCAAAAACGCCAUCCCCUUCUCGCAAUUCCUCCGUCUCCGCCGCAUCUGCUCUCAGGAUGAGGCUUUUCAUUCUAGGAUGAGGGAGAUGUCUUCAUUUUUUAAAGAAAGGGGCUUCCCUUCCUCCACUAUCAAUUCUGCUCUUAAACGCAUCUCCCCCAUUUCACGUACAUCUGCUCUCACUCCAUCCUCCCACCACCCCACUAGGAAUAGGGUUCCCCUGGUCCUCACCUACUACCCCACCAGCCUCCGGGUCCAACAUAUUAUUCUCCGUAACUUCUGCCACCUCUAACGGGAUCCCACCACUUAGCACAUCUUUCCCUCCCCCCCCCUGCAUUCCGCAGGGAUCGCUCCCUACACAACUCCCUUGUCCAUUCGUCCCCCCCAUCCCUCCCCACUGAUCUCCCUCCUGGCACUUAUCCGUGUAAGCGGAACAAGUGCAACACAUGCCCUUACACUUCCUCCCUUGCCACCAUUCAAGGCCCCAAACAGUCCUUCCAGGUGAGGCAUCACUUCACCUGUGAGUCAACUGGGGUGAUAUACUGCAUCCGGUGCUCCCGAUGUGGCCUUUUAUGUAUUGGUGAGACCUGACGCAGACUGGGAGACCGCUUUGCUGAACAUCUACGCUCUGUCCGCCAGAGAAAGCAGGAUCUCCCAGUGGCCACACAUUUUAAUUCCACGUCCCAUUCCCAUUCUGACAUGUCUAUCCACGGCCUCCUCUACUGUAAAGAUGAAGCCACACUCAGGUUGGAGGAACAACACCUUAUAUUCCGUCUGGGUAGCCUCCAACCUGAUGGCAUGAACAUUGACUUCUCUAACUUCCGCUAAGGCCCCACCUCCCCCUCGUACCCCAUCUGUUACUCAUUUUUAUGCACACAUUCUUUCUCUCACUCUCCUUUUUCUCCCUCUGUCCCUCUGAAUAUACCUCUUGCCCAUCCUCUGGGUCACCCCCCCCCUUGUCUUUCUUCCCGGACCUCCUGUCCCAUGAUCCUCUCGUAUCCCCUUCUGCCUAUCACCUGUCCAGCUCUCGGCUCUAUCCCUCCCCCUCCUGUCUUCUCCUAUCAUUUUGGAUCUCCCCCUCCCCCUCCAGCUUUCAAACCCCUUACUCACUCUUCCUUCAGUUAGUCCUGACGAAGGGUCUCGGCCUGAAACGUCGACUGCACCUCUUCCUAUAGAUGCUGCUUGGCCUGCUGCAUUCACCAGCAACUUUGAUGCAUGUUGUUAGUUAUAAAAUCUUACUUGUCUAACCACAUAUCAUGUACUGUCUGUUAUUUCGGGGUACUGAUCUGACAUGGGACACAUCACGCAGCAUCCACCCAAACAAGAAUUCUAAAGUUUGGCUGGGCAGGGGCAUCAUAACCCUGGAGAUUAUGCCACUAGGCAAAGUGAGUGUUACAUUUCAAAAAGAGAAUGUUGUACUCAAGCCACUAUUGCAAACUGCGACAAAAAUAUUGCAGCAAUGCUGUGAUUUCAAAUGUCAUUUCUGAGAAAGUUAAGACUUUCAGUUAACACAUUCACUGAUAUGAUGAACUACAUGCUUAGAAAUGAAGAAUUUGAAGAACUAUCAAUUUCUUGCUAUAGUUGAAACAUUUCAAGCUUGUAGUGCUGACUGAGAACAUUAAUUCAGUCUUAUGAAUUCAUUUAAAUGUAAAACCAGAAACAGGAAUAUUUCUAUGAUCUAAUGAGGAUUAAGUUGCACCUUUCACCUGGACAGUGUUUAUAAACAAUGGAUUUGUAAUUAAGACAGAC